Molecule: ribosomal RNA, 170 nt
Filed under: Symbolophorus evermanni
Lineage: Eukaryota; Metazoa; Chordata; Actinopteri; Myctophiformes; Myctophidae
Description: partial 12S rRNA
Source: RNAcentral
CACCGCGGUCAUACGAGUGACGCCCAAGUGGACAGCCCACGGCGUAAAGUGUGGUUAGGGAACUCCCCAACUAAAGUUGAAUCAUCUCCAAGCUGUUAAACGCCCCGAGAUCAAGAAACCCAACGACGAAAGUGACUUUAACCUGACCUGAAACCACGAAAGCUGAGAAA